This 51-nucleotide ribosomal RNA is filed under the name Hericium erinaceus (lion's mane mushroom). RNAcentral describes it as "partial 28S ribosomal RNA". The record is from RNAcentral. Lineage: Eukaryota; Fungi; Basidiomycota; Agaricomycetes; Russulales; Hericiaceae.
UUGACCUCGAAUCAGGCGGGACUACCCGCUGAACUUAAGCAUAUCAAUAAG